This is a non-coding RNA of Myodes glareolus (Bank vole), 2919 nucleotides long. NCBI's taxonomy places the organism in Eukaryota, Metazoa, Chordata, Mammalia, Rodentia, Cricetidae. The record is from RefSeq and is a predicted model, not a curated record.
CUCUCUGCUCUAGUUCUGGCUACCAAGCUUAUUCCUUUAAUAGCAUUAGAGCCUAUUUCUUUGUAAUUUUGGCGAAUACUUAAAACUACCUAAGACAUCAAGCCUCAUGGCUGAACAACUACUGGAUAAGAUCACUUGAUCUUAGACAAAAGGCUGAGAAUCAGUCUCCUGGAUUCUUCAGUUUUCAUUGGUAGGCAACCAUUUUUAGAUGACCUGGACCACAGCUUGUGAGACAGUUUAAUGAGCCCACUUUUUACAUAAUGGUGAGCUUCGUUCUACCUGUCCUGCUCAUGUAAAGAAUCUUGAAUACUGCAGUUGUAUAUUUUAUUCACCUGACCAUGUGGAGGGAGAUCUGCUGGCUGGCAAUAGUGCUCAUGAAGACAUUCUUCCUAGUUCCAUUAUUUUCUACAUAUUCAAAUUUCCAUGAACACUACUCUUUUGAUUUUUAUUCAUUUGCCUGGAGCUUGCUUUGGACUUCAGGAAUAAAACUCACAAAGCAAUGGAGCCAUCAUCCAGCUUUCUGAUGGGGGAAAAACCUGUCAUUUUGUUUAAGAUCUGGUUCCUGUUUUCCUCUUUUCUGUUGUGUGAAAUCCCUCUGAAAACCAUGUAAAAAGUAUCUUCAAUUUAUCCAACCUAAGCAUGAAGCAAGCCACAGAACAAACAUCUCCUUUUGUGACCUUAAAACUAUCUUUGACUGUUAAUAUUCUGGCCAUUCUUCCACAUGUGGGACAGGAAAUCCCUGCACCCACCUAGCACAGUGCACUGUGCAAGCCAACUAGCCACAAUGUGUCCUGGAGGAAAAAUGGAAAGUUCCUAUGGAGUUCAGGAAGAUGACAGUGUCUGCUUUUGGAGCCAGGGGAAAGUGCAAUUAAAAUGCAUAUCUUGGCUGAUCUAGAAAAGAUCAUUGACUGAAAUGGCCAGGAAUAACUGUGCUGUAUCUUUAAGCACACUAUAGUCCCAAGGGAGGUGUUCUUGUCACUCAGGCCUCACUAGCCAAUCCGGUCCUCCAGAUGACCUGCCAGUCAGAAGCAUUGCAGGGCUCUUCCGGGCACCCGCCUUCAGACUCUGCUUCACAGAGGCGCUGGCGGCAGUGGUUUCGUGUGCUGCGGUGAAGUUGCUGCUGCAGGGAGAUGAUGAACUGAGAGCUUUGGCGAUCUGGAGAAACCACAACAUGGAUGCUGGAGAACAUGUUAACACCAGUGGAUUCCAUGAUUGUGGGCCCAUUCUCAUGCUUCUCUGGCUGUGAAGUGAGUUCCCUGGUCAGAAGCAAUACUGUGUGGAAUUCCAUGCUCCUGAGUAAGAAAUUGUACAAAUGCAUUGACGAUGGUUUUGCAGAAGCAUUGCCUGUAGGAAAGGCAAAUCCAUAACCAGAAUCUUAUGGUAAAAUAUGAACAUGCCAGAGGCAAUUCUUUCCAUCAUUUUUGUAAUUUACAUAUGUUCCUACAUGACUUUGAGGUAAGAAUGUCCCUAACUCUGUUUUUACAUUGUGAUCAUCUUCAGAAGUGGAUUUGUUAACCGAGCAUGCUGAAGAAAAGGGAGAAAAUUAUAUGACCCUGGUAAGACUCCCUAUGUAAAAUCCUCAUGAUUCCUUUGUUGAGAAAAAACACUGUUUUAAAAAUAACUUCCAGUCACUUCACACCUCCUGCAGGUAAGACUUUUUUCUAAUUUUUUUCUGUCUUGAAUUUUGAGAUGGCUAAUUUUGGUAGUCAAACUGACUACCUCUGGAAUUAACUAAUACACAAAAAAUUGAGUAUAGCUGAGAGAAAUUUUACUUAGAGGUUUUAAAUCGGAAAACCCUCCAUUAAUCUGUAUAAUUUGAGAUGACAGGAUCCACCUUUAUCUGCUUGGUAUCAGUGCACACUUUUAACACCAACACAUAAGAUUCAGAGGCAGUGAGCUUUUCAGAGUUUGAGACCAAUCUGGCCUACAGAAUGAGUUCCACAGCUACACAGAUAAAUACUGUUUUGAAAUCACCAAAAAAAAAAAAAAAAUCUGAAUCAAACAAAGUCUAUGAUCUAACUUUAACCAGGAUCUUACCUUCUGGUAGCAACAGUCACAGUUAAAGUAUAUUGAAGAAAAAAGUUUCUUUUUGGCCUCCGUGCUCUCGCUCUGGCUUCCUAACUCCUUCCUUUCCUAGCAGUACUUCUAGGAAAGUACUGCCUACUUCUUUGAAAUUUUGAAAUUUUGGUGUAUACUUAAAAGCAGCUGAGACAUUGAGCCUCAUAGGCUGAAAAACUCCUGGAUUUUUCACUUGAUCUCAGGCAAAAGGCUGAGAAACAAUCUGCUGGAUUCUUCAAUUUUCAUUGGUGGGCAGCUAUUUUUAGACAACCUGGACUACAACUUGAGAAACAUUCGAAUAAGCCCACUUUUUAUAUACAUGGCAAGAUUCGUUCUACCUGUCCUGUUCAUGUAGGGAAUAUUGAAAAAUGCAGUUGUUUAUUUAUUUACCUGACCAUGGAGGAAGAUGUGCUGGCUAGCAAUAGUGCUCAUGAAGACAUUCUUCCUAGCUCCAUCCUUCUCUACAUAUUCUGGAGGGAAAAUGGAAAGUUCCAGUGGAGUGCAAGAAGAUGAUAGUGUGUGCUUUUGGUGUCCUGGGCAAGAGCUAUUGAAAUACAUAUGUUUGUAGAUCUAGAAAAGAUCUUUGACUGGGGUGGGAGGAAUGGCCAGGAACCACUGUGCUGUGUCUUUAAGUACACUAUAGCCCUAUGGGAUGUGUUCUUGUCACUCAGACAUUACUGCCCAAUCAGGCCCUCCAGAUGACCUACGAGUCAGAAGCAGUAGAGGGCUCUUCCAGGCACGAGCCUUCAGACUCAGCUUUGCAGAGGAGCUGAUGCCAGUGGUUUCAGGUGCUGUGCUGCAGUUGCUGCUGCAGGGAGAUGAUGAACUGAGAGCUUUGGCGAGCUGGAAAACCACAACAUG